GCCUUCGUGGUGUAGUGGUUCUGCACGCUGGGCCAGUAAUCCAGAGGUCCGUGGUUCGAAUCCCGGCGAAGGCG
RNAcentral lists this transfer RNA (74 nucleotides) under Stegodyphus dumicola. RNAcentral's name for it is "tRNA-Thr". It matches the Rfam family "tRNA". Rfam says of the family: Transfer RNA (tRNA) molecules are approximately 80 nucleotides in length. Their secondary structure includes four short double-helical elements and three loops (D, anti-codon, and T loops). Lineage: Eukaryota; Metazoa; Arthropoda; Arachnida; Araneae; Eresidae. The record is from RNAcentral.